Molecule: ribosomal RNA, 10198 nt
Filed under: Triticum aestivum (bread wheat)
Lineage: Eukaryota; Viridiplantae; Streptophyta; Magnoliopsida; Poales; Poaceae
Description: partial small subunit ribosomal RNA
Source: RNAcentral
GGGAGUGCGCUAGAGGGGGGGUGGAGCAGAGGUGAGGACAGUGAUGGGCCCCUAGCCCAGGCCCGACCCAACCUAGGCCUUGCUUAGGGCGCCCGAGCAGCAGAAGGGGCGCUCGCGCGCGCGUCCGCCGCCACUACGCGACGAGCUUGACGACGACGACGACGACGACGAUCGGCGCAGGCUAGCCCCCGCUACUUGUAGCACUUCCCGCAGCGACUAGAGGAGGCGUUCAGCUGCGGGAGGAGCGGCCCGAGGCCGCCACCGCCGCGGCCACGGCCACCUCCGUCGGGGCCGCCUCCGCCCCCGCCGUGGCCGAGGGGGAGGCGGCUGUUCAAGCGGCGGCGCGGGAGGGGGUCUCAGGCGAAGUCACUGUGACCACUCCUUCCUUAGAAUUUGUGUGAGACCGUCUCCAUGCUCUUACGGUAGCUGUUCCGACUUUUCUUCUUCAGGGACGUUUAUAAACAGGACGUAAAAUAUGUUCGUAAAUUUCUGACCCUCGGUGUGGCAUAACUAGUUAGUCAACUGGCCUUUAGUCAUAGUCUACUAUGUCAAUAUCCUACAAGACCACCCGUAGGAAGACUCCAGUAGGAAUAAGAGCAAGUCCUCUAAAGAGUAAAUUGAAGUAAACAAUGACUCUCGUCGUCGACAGGUCUUAGGAGCCGAUUAGAGAGUCUCGUUAGGUGUCUGGACCCUAAUUCGUGACUUCAUAAUGGACAAAACCUCACAAAGUGGUAACAAUGAGCGAGUCACGUAUUGACAUCUCAUAAAUCAAUAAUACCUCCACACGUUUUCCAAUGACGAGAAAACUUUCGGCGUCAACAUUUCGAGUUCUGGAACUGUUCAAACGAACGGUGUCUACUUGUUGACAGUUUAUCUUGACAUCUUUUAUACUCCUACUACGUUUUCUAAGAACAUGUGUAACAAUGCUAUUAAAGUUUGAAGUACCUAAACCUCGGUCGACGUUGUUCUUAAAGUGCCCAACAGUUAUCGUGACUAGUAUGGGGUAGUUUGUUGAAUCGGUGUCAAUGAGGGUUACGAUAUUCUUCUAAACAAAGACUAUCUUUAACCGUCGUUUUUCGGUAACAAAGUCAAUACCUUCGACCGCCGCAGUUAACCAAUCAUCUUGAGAAUUCCCAGUAAGCUUCUGAUUUAAACUUUCUAGUCACCUGACUGAACAGUGAAGUGAAAUAUUGAAACAUACGAGACUCUAGUUGUUAUAGACUCUUAUGAGCACGUGUCUUAGUAAAGUCUUCGUAGCCUCCUGACCUCCAAGAUAACCUACCUGACCCUGAUGGUAGUUCGUUUAAAAGUCAGAGUUUCGUAAGAAAACAGGGGUCACUACUUUCCUCACUGUAAGACGUCGAGGUCUAUGAUAGAAACCUUUAAGACUCCCUUCGCCAAAAGCCAUUACAAUUGUUAAACGUCAAGGAUACACUUUUACCUGCCUAUGUAUUUAAACGCUUGUCGUAGACAACCGGGCGUAAAUACAAAGUCCUCAAAGUAGUCGUCUUUAAAGAACUAGGGCUCCACGGGUUGACCUUUGAACUAUCUGUUUCAUGGCCCUUAAGUGGAUGUAAUCUUAGUAAGGGUUCAGGACAACUAUAAGAAUUAUGCUAGCUUACCUUACUCAUAAGACAUUUCAAUUCGUUCCGUGAAACAAGAAAGGAAGAAGGAGGAUUACUCUAGUCCAUGACAGGACCAAGUUGACAAUGGUUUUAAAGAGAUGGGUAGAGCAACCGUAUGACCCUCGUUACACGUUCCACCUAGUAUUUCUAAGAAAGUUGACAAAAGGGCACGUAGUUUCGUACACGAUCACUUUGCCUUAACGGAUUGGUAUAUUCCUAAAAUAGUUUAUAGGAUGUUGUAAUGUACGAGUCGUGUAAAUCCUUUCAAGAGUAAAGUCGUGGUCAAGAUGAGUUUAGAAAAGCUCUCCUCCCGAACACCCUAGACUAUAAGAGUCUCUUUUAAAAGAUAAAGCCUAGUAGGGACCUCACGUAAGUAGUCUAACAACCACUCUGACUCUGUGUUUGACUAGUAAAGUGACUGCGACGGCUUAGUUGACCGAUGUUUUCAUUAGAUGGACUACAGUUGUAGGAAGUCAGUCUUCGAUAAAGGAAGAACCUCAAACGACGUUGUGACUUACUUUUGUGUUUAUUGGACGGUCUUACGAGUCGUAACAAUUCACGUGACCUUGUGACGUGAUUACCAGGACCUAACCAACGAUGGUAAGAAUUCUCGAAAGUACAAUAGGACUUUGAACGGUGACUCGUUUGAGAUCAAAGAAAGUUCAGUAACCUGCACGAAUGGUCUCAGGACUUCCAACGUACGGAAGUUCGUGUUCUUGAUUCCUUCCGUGUAGGUUCGCUACUGAAGUCCCCUUUACCAAGAGUUAGUUUGUUACAAGUCUACCUAAGAGAUCUACUCUCUUAAUUCUUACGAGAAUGUACACAGCUUAACCGAAAGUUGGAAAAGUUCCUUAUACAGUGUUAUAGAUUGGAACCUUCCUACUAUUAAAAUGUAUUACGGUUAACAUAACCCACGGAUAAACUAAAUAAGGUUCUUCUCUUGGAGGCCUUUGUACAUGACCUCGUUCAAGAACGGAAUAUAUCCAACGGAGGUAGUAGUCGUGUUCUAGUAUGUCGUUUCAACGUUGAUACGAGGUUUAUAAAUCUCUGGAAGUGAGCACGUUUUCUCGUACUUUUCUUGAAACGUCUUUACAGCUAACUAAAUAAUCAAUGGAACUCUCUCUAGUAAAACUAUCUAGCGCGCAUAAUGGUUUUAGACAAAGCGUUACCCCUCACGAAGGACGUAUAUCAGAGAAAUAACUUACCUUGAAAACUACUUCGUCAACCCCUCGUUAACCAGGAAUUACAGGAAGUCUGCAACUGGAGUAAUGAACGACUUUUACUACUUAGGUUCCGACGAAAAUCUUACAACCAACCACACCCGAUGGUUUGUGACGUUUCGAACGAUAACCUGAAGACAUUUACCGACGGUUCAGCCUUUGAGAACCUACGGGAUGAACCAUACGAACAGCUACCCUGAAAACUCUAUUUACUUUUCUGUUGUUAUUUCUUACUUCUACAUUAAUAUGAAAAGAAUUUACAAGAUGUUUUCUCGUCAUGAAGCGAAGUUGUAAUACCCGAACACCAGAAUGUCGUUAACGAGUUUCCCAGGUAAUGUUUAUCUUGAAUAACAAAGUUUCGUCCUAAUGAAUCGAAAGAAGAACUGACCAAAAGACAACUCCUUACCCUCCUGUGUCAAUAUUUUUAACGUCUCAAUUAAGUCUAAUAACCUCCUGUAUCAUAAAGGCCCUUUCUAUAGGCCUUUUACAAACGAGAGAACGCACCACUCUUUUAAUCACAGUUCGUCUUCGUAUCGAGUAACGAAAACUGUUCAGAAUCAGUAUACGAGUUCCUUUUCCCUGGACUUCGAAAGAAACUCAAGUCACCAGUACUAAGACCAUAACUUCAUUUUAGUGGACAAGUUACCGGAAUGUCAUUUCCAAAUAGAAAGACGACAACCGAAUCUCACCUUUCGAAGGGACUCUUACCAUACUACCCGGAAAAGAGGAAAAAGUGCCUUUUACCUUUUCCUACAAAUCGAUACGAACCCUUUUUAUGAGAUCAGAUACUCAGACAGUCAGUUUUCUUAGUCACACAAAACAACGGAAAUUCGGAGGGUUGCUUCGUUACCUUUAAGGAAAGACAAUGAGUAUGUCAUCCCUCUCGAAAAAGACCUCCUUCGGUCGACUCUACGAUACAUCUACCGCUAAAUCAUAGUUGACUCUUUACGUCCAUACGUUUUCAGUUACUUCACUACUGAGCGACGUCAGAACCUUGUCUUAAUUACGGGUAACCACUUCUUGGUUGAAGAGAACCAAAACUCCCGUGAAAACGAAAAUGACCAGUUUACCCGGGUCAAAUACGUAAAAGACUACGAGAGAGACGGCUUGUUUAUUCUCCGUAUAUGUUAGAACCUGGUUCAAUGUACAUGAGAAAGGAACCACUAGUUUUGAACGAAUACUUAUUACUGAGUGAAAUGUUCCCUUAAAACCUACGUUCCCUACCAUAAAGUAGCUUCUACUAAAAACCGAACUUACGUGUCCGAUCGUUAUUAUCCUGAAACAAGUUACACAGAAGACAUGAACUAUCAGAACUGUUCUCGUUCGAACUCCGUUGGUAGUACCCACCAUGUUUCAAUACGAGCUCCGUGAACGACGUCCUGUAUUAAAUAACGCAACCUCCACAGAGACAUAACAAAGGAGAAGACUAUGUAAAACUACUACGGUAGUGAGUAUCACCUCUUAGAGGGUGACCCCUAGUCAACCGUCCAGUUCAGUAACUCGAACAACGUAGACAAGACCUACCUUUACAUCGUUUAGUCGUUGUCUACGUAGAAGAAAGACCUAAGAGAUAAAAUCCGAAGAACAAAGUUAGACAAAGUGGUGUCGACGAUUUAAAGUUCUGAGAAAGUCGUGACUUCGUGAACAAAUUAUAAAACUGUUUGUCACCAUACAGUCUUUAAGAUAACUUUCUACGAGAAAGUGUUUAAAUAGACUUGGGCGUAUAGACCCGUAUAAGUUCAAUACUUCAUGUUUCUCUUGAAAUAGACAAAGACUAUGUCAUAAAACUUUGACUGCCCUUUAACAAUGGUUACAAUACACCUGAGGGAUCCUAGUAACUAUAACAUGCGGUCAAAAUAAGUCUUUUCAAUCUAAGAUCCAGAAGAUUCGGAAACGACGUAAACCAAUGACUUGUUCACUAACCUCUCUCUGGUGUAUAUCUUCUUUAAGCGUUCUAAGCAGAAGAGGAGAACUCAGACCGUCUUUACUCGAAUUUCGACUUCCAGAGAAGUGUACUAUAUUCUCGAGAACACAGGAAAAAGCUCUUUUCAGUUCUACAACGUACAUAGCUCCUACAUGAAAUGUACUAAUAGGCACGAGAAAGUGUCUUAAGUGAAGAUAGUAGAAAAGACCUCGUUCAUUUAAGACAACCUCCAACAAUGUAAAAGUAGUUAGAAGAAUUCUCCCUUAAGCUUGGUUAAGCAGAUGACCCAGAAGUUGAAGAACCUUUCGAAGACCAACCUCAAGGUAGACUCUUUUUUCCUGGUUUUGAAAAACCGGAAGGACAUCCUGCCGGAUCUAGAUACAGGCUUUUAUAUGCCUUUCCUUAUCGUCGUUGUGGGGUUGACAAAAAGAUAAGUUAUAGACUCUCUGAAAAGUUUAAAGGUGAAAGUCUAGUAAAUACACGAUGAAAAAAACUACAAGAAGAACCACCUCGGUCGGGAUUCGUCCAGAAUGUCUUUGCCAGGGUUAGAUUACUCGAUUUUCUAUCUUCGUCAUACAGUCAUCACUCGAACCGAGGUAAAAUACAAGGAGUCUAAAACCAGACGUAAAAAUUUAUAUACGUGAGAACGGUUCUACGAAGUCGUGCACGUUUCUAGAACUCACUAGAAGAACUAAACGAACUAAGUUUGGGGAGUUUACAACUUCGGUAGUACCUCAUACCAACCUCGAGAACCGAACUCUGUAGACACUUCGAACUACAGAAGUCCCUGAUGUCUGGUUAAAGCUUUCGAUUAAUACGGUCAAACCUCUGGUUACUCGAUUAAGAACACUCCUUGUACAUAAGUAAUCAGGAAAGAAUAAAAAACACGAUGCACUUUCCACCGACCGUAGUCGACCUCCUGUGUUGUUUAAAAGAAGAGAAUUUUUAACUCCUCCCUGUCAAUUGUUUAAAGACAGACGACGCUCUGUAAAAGCUUCUAUAGUAACCUUCGGACGAGCUCUGAAGAGGACUACUCCUGUAUAAGUAAAGUGUCGGUACGGCACUAUUAUAGAACAUGGAAAACUUCGACUCACUACUUAACGAACAACUAGUUUAACCUUAAUUCGAGGACAAAGUAGGUGGACUAUACACACGGAGAAGUAGGCUACCGAGUGUCUUUCUACUGUAACCGAGACGUAAACACCUUUAAUAUUUACGACUCUCGUUAUCGGUUGGACGUUCAGAAGGAACCUCAUCGUUGUAUAAAUGACUACCACUUUUUGACUCACUACUGACCACCUCGAAAAUACUGUUUUAGACCUGAGAACAAACCUUGAACUUACCGUUCCCUGUUUUGUCUAACUGUGGUUUCCCAAGUUCACGGAGACAAGGUAGAUAACCCGUUUCCCGUGCACCCAACCAUCUUAGCGAUUUAUAGGGCCGACGUCUUUACCGACGACAUCAACAUUGACCUCCGUAACCAUGCCGUAAUUCACGUUUCUGCUUGUUUUAAUGACUGUUUCGGUACUACGAUGCUCCUCUUUCCAAGGGUUCUUAGUAGAAGGUGGAACAUUAAUACAUAGAGACGUUUCGACCGAAUCUUUUACGUAGGUUCACACAGGUCGUUAAAUAUUGUUACGAAGGAUUAGAAUAAAGGCUUCUUCUAGUUACGUUUUUGUCUGACGUAAAGUAUUAAACCAGAAAUGAUUCCCAAUCUAGGGUGAUGCCCCUUGAACUACUACCACGUGCAAAGGUACAAUAAAGUGUAAACUAAGAACUCUGACAGUAUAUACCUUUCAGGUACGAUCGGUGAUCGUAGAACCCGUUUCUACUAAGACGACUUCGUUUAUCGUUAUUUCUCAGGCCGAAGUAAGAAUUAGAACAUGUCUUCCUAGCACAAGAACGACGCCGAAGACUAAAUCAUUUUAUGUACUUCCUGUGUUUCCGACUAGCGGACUCCGUUGAGGUCCUGGAUUUAAGAUUUGAACUGCUCGCGAACUAACUUCUAUAUCUUGUUGAGGUUUCGAACCUUCUACUAUAUGUCAAACGUUUCUGACGGCGUUAAAGACCCCUACUGUUAUCCUUUCGUCGAAAGUUCGAACGUAAACUACUCCUAGUCGUUUAACAACGUCUAUUUACCUAUGUAUAAAAGGCGCGAAACUCACUGCUUUCUCCUGGUACCAGACGAUCGGGGAAAGGUUUAUUAAACCACUGUAUGACCUUUGUACUGUUCUGUCUCCUAUUUACCGCCGCCGCUUACUUCGACUUCGCAUUAAUAUUCAAACUACUUGCGUAAACAGUUGGUGACAGGUGGUUUAGAUGAUUACUUUUAUGGCGGGGCAGACAACUAGGAAAGCAAUCACGGUUCUAAGGUCUUUUUUACUUCGCGAAGGAAGACUUUCCUCACGCACCUUAGUGUCCCCUACAACCAAGACUUAGUACACUCCUAUUGUUACUAUGUUCACUCGGAAGGGUUUUAUUUGGUAGUCUCUUAGUCCACAGUUCACUACGACGUUUAAGAUUUCUGAGAAGUCUAAUAGGAUGAUCAUCACACGUUUUAUCCUUUCUUGUUAGUAGAUGACCACCUCUAUUACUAAUACGACUCCACGAUAGAAGACAAGUGACACAAGAACAAUGUGGUUUUUCUUUUGAUCGACCUGUUAAAUGAUAGUGAGCUUUACGGGACGUAAAAAGAAAACUCAAAAACCAGCUUCCGUGUCCCCCGAGUAGACAAAAGUUGUUCAAAGAUCUAUUGUUCCUUAGUCUACGGUUCUCACUCGACCCUUCACACCUUUUCGACUUCCCAUUAAGACUACAUCCUGCUCCGUUACUCCGACCUAGACCACUACGAGACUACUUUUCAGUCAGAUUGUUCUAUUUUGUGGUAUCUUCCACCUUUUAUUGGUCCUAUUCUCGUCAAAUGACCUGUGCAAUGGAUGAUGUUAUAUGACGUUGCCUCUAUAAAAAACUACUACGUUUACGUGGAUAUAAAGAAUUAAAAAGGAGGGUUUUACUACGAUUUUUACAACCCAGAGAAAAUCAAAGGAACUCCUUACUACGAAACAAGGGGUUUCCUUCAUGUUUUCUGUUUUUAUCACAUUAAAGCAAACAACUGUCUUUUCAACGGGAACUUUACCGACUCUCACGGUCCCUCUCAACCUCUUUUUCCCUCUAGUCGUUGAAACUCAUAGAUUACUAAGACUUAUGAGAAAGACCUGCUAGAAUGUUGCUAAAUUGAGUUAUGGGAUAUAAAGGAACCUAUAACCGACUGAUAAGUAGUCUUUUUGAACUAAAGUUGUUCAGUAGAUGAAAGUCCCUGGACAGUUUCGGUCAACCACGUAACCUACGUUUUGCGAAAUUCCAAAAGCUUCUAUCUAUAGAAUUAAAGACACUAGGACUAUAUGGUUCAAAAAUAAUACCUAGUGUGAUGAGAUCGUACCCUUAACAAGAAAUGAUGGAAGAUUCCGAGCUCGGAAAAUGACGAGACGUGGCGUUAGAAGUCCCACCAUUUAAACUGGUACGUCUGGCAGAGAAAGUCUCGUAACUUUCGUGUAUAUCCUUGACGGAUAGUUUAUGUUCACUACAGUUCCUCGAAUGUGGACUUAAGAAAAUGUACGGACUCAAAGAACUUUUAAACUUAAGUAUAGUGAAACCCCAUUUCGUCCUGCCACUUGGAAAUCCGGUACAUCCAGAGGGAGGUACCCGUUUCCCAAGUGGUCUUCUUAAGUAAGUAUAGUUAGCACUCCGGGAACUUUCACUUAUACAUUCGAGAUUAGAAGUAGUGACCUAACUGGAGUAUAAACCAAUAUUCGUCGCACCGUUCGGACGGCAACUCCGUCGUUUAUAUAAGAUGAUAAACUGUAUGCUCCCACGACAACUAAACCUUUUGUACCUACUAUACAACGUCUUCAGACGAUAGCUUCUGGUCUAACGUUUAAAACCUGUCUGUGGGUAAGUUUAAAAAGCCUUCUUUGUGGGUUCUUCUCCUGGAGGAUAUGGUUAACGUGUGGGUGAUAUAAAACGAGGUGUCAGCUAUUGUCACUGAAGACAACAAGGAUCACGUUAGUCGAGAAGUAGUAGACAUAACAAGUAACCGAACAACCUAAGUUUGUAACAGAACUACUCGCUCCCCGAGUAUGACAGUCAUUUUGAAACCGAUUGUUGCGUUAAUGUCAGACCACCUUUGAAGUGUAAAAGACCUAGUGACCUCGGAAAGAAACCUUAACCAAGACUACAAUAAAGAGGGGCUUUUCAACGGUGAAGGAACCGACUUUUACAACUCAAGCCUUCUGUUACGGACCGUCGACAGGUUUAAGUACCACUGUUAAUAAAUUAAAAUACACCAUUAACCCUCUUGUCAAAGGUCUAGUAAAGGGAAUCACUACCUUCUUAACACGUCUCGUAGGCUGUCGUAUUUCUACAACAAUCGACACAACGUCAAAGUAGACUACCUUCACAUUAACGUUGACCUUCAAUACUGUGCUGAUAAUACUAAACCGUACGUAAGGCUCCUUCUAGUUUACUGUUUUCUAGUUUCUUACGUUCAUUACUGGAUAGUUGAUUCCUGGUACAAUAGUAGCUUUUGGGAAGAGUGUAGAACACACCAGUACUACUAUAAUAGUGUACGAAUAAACAAUCAUUCCUUGAACUAUAACAAUAGUCACCUAGUUUCCUACCUUGAACAUAUAAAGUAUGCGACGCACUCCCCUGAAUACAAACUAGGUAAGCUGUAGGUAGUCUUAGGUUACCGGCGGACUUAACGUACCUUGAUUCAACAACACCUCUCAAAUACCAUACACGACCACUAGUACCUGUUUAACAAGACGCCAGAUACCUAAGAGAGCCUCAACAAACCUCCAUACUACCUAGACCCUUCUGUUAUUGAAGAAAUCGACACUGAGCGCUCCUCACGAAAAACCGACCUUGGUUCCUACCGUCGAACUAACAUAAAAGUUAUCUUUUAGGUAAUGAAGCGUUUCCGCCGUAUGUUGCUUUGUUUCAUUUUAGAAGACAUCCAAUCACCACACACUAAUUCGUCGCGAGGAACGACGUUCAAGACUUGUUUCGAACGUCUUACGAGUUUAACGUAUCAGUUAGACGGGAAGCCCUAGAAAGGUCCCCUCCUCUAACAACACUACGAGAGCAGUUACCCCCAGUGGCCGUCAUUUACAUUUUCUCUUGUCAAACAACGAGAAGACAUGUAUGUCGAAAUCUAACUCCUCAAUCCUAAGAUGUCCUACGGACUCGACUAGUUCCAGGUGUUCGCCUAUUAAGAAGAUUGACGUUUUACCUAUGCACCAUUGAUUAUGGUGUCAUGAAAGAGGAAAACUAAAAGCUCUACUCGAGCCUAUGGCACCACGACCUGACGAUCAACGUAUCGAUCACGUACGCUCACAUUGUAUUAGAGCACGCCACAAGAAUGUUCAAUC